GAAGGUAAUAGUCCUGUAUGUUAAACGAAAAGACUUUAGAUAUGAUCCAGAGUACCACGGGACACGUGAAACCCUGUGGGAAGCAGGAGGGACCACCCUCCAAGGCUAAAUACUACCUAGUGACCGAUAGCGUAUAGUACCGUGAGGGAAAGGUGAAAAGAACCCCGGGAGGGGAGUGAAAUAGAACCUGAAACCCUGCACUUACAAGCUGUGGAAGCACAUUUCUUGUGUGACCGCGUACUUUUUGUAGAACGGGCCAACGAGUUACGUUAAGUAGCAAGGUUAAGCACUUAAGGUGCGGAGCCGUAGCGAAAGCGAGUUUUAACUGAGCGUUCAGUUACUUGACGUAGACCCGAAACCGGGCGACCUACCCAUGAGCAGGAUGAAGCGAAAGUAAAAUUUCGUGGAGGUCCGAACCCACGAGCGUUGAAAAGCUCGGGGAUGACUUGUGGGUAGCGGUGAAAUUCCAAUCGAGCCCGGAGAUAGCUGGUUCUCCCCGAAAUAGCUUUAGGGCUAGCCUCAAGGUGAGAGAUACGGAGGUAGAGCACUGAAUGUCCUAGGGGGUAUUGCACCUACCGAAGACUAUCAAACUCCGAAUGCCGUCAUCUUAUACUUGGGAGUCAGACUGUGGGUGAUAAGAUUCAUAGUCGAAAGGGCAACAGCCCAGAUCGUCAGCUAAGGUCCCUAAAUGUAAGUUAAGUGGUAAAGGAUGUGGGAUUGCACAGACAACCAGGAUGUUGGCUUAGAAGCAGCCACUCAUUCAAAGAGUGCGUAAUAGCUCACUGGUCGAGUGAUCCUGCGCCGAAGAUUUCCGGGGCUAAAACUUACUACCGAAGCUACGGCAUCAGUAAUGAUGGGUAGGGGAGCUUCCCAUACGGGUUGAAGCAUGACCGUAAGGACAUGUGGACAGUAUGGGAGUGAGAAUGUUGGCAUGAGUAGCGAGAUGUGGGUGAGAAUCCCACAGGCCGUAAACCCAAGGUUUCCAGGGGAAGGUUCGUCCGCCCUGGGUUAGUCGGGACCUAAGCUGAGGCCGAAAGGCGUAGGUGAUGGACAACAGGUUGAUAUUCCUGUACUACCGAUAACCGUUUGAGAGAUGGGAUGACACAGUAGGAUAAGCUAAGCACACUGUUGGUUAUGUGUGCCCAAGCAUUGAGGCAGUCAAAGUAGGUAAAUCCGCUUUGAUAAUGCUGGGAUGUGAUGGGGAGCGAAAUUUAGUAGCGAAGUAGCUGAUUUCACACUGUCAAGAAAAGUCUCUAUCGAGGUUAAAGGUACCCGUACCGCAAACCGACACAGGUGGGUGAGGAGAGUAUCCUAAGGCCAGCGAGAGAACUGUUGUUAAGGAACUCGGCAAAAUGACCCCGUAACUUAGGGAUAAGGGGUGCCACCAUCAGGUGGCCGCAGAGAAUAGGCCCAAGCGACUGUUUACCAAAAACAUAGGUUUCUGCUAAGUCGCAAGACGAUGUAUAGGAGCUGACGCCUGCCCGGUGCUGGAAGGUUAAGGGGAUCUGUUAGAGCAAUCGAAGCAGUGAACUUAAGCCCCAGUAAACGGCGGCCGUAACUAUAACGGUCCUAAGGUAGCGAAAUUCCUUGUCGGGUAAGUUCCGACCCGCACGAAAGGCGUAACGAUUUGGGCACUGUCUCAACAACAGACUCGGUGAAAUUGUAAUUCCGGUGAAGAUGCCGGAUACCUGCGACAGGACGGAAAGACCCCAUGGAGCUUUACUGUAGCUUGACAUUGGGUCUUGGUACUACAUGUACAGGAUAGGUGGGAGGCUUUGAAACCAGGACGCCAGUUUUGGCGGAGCCAUCCUUGGGAUACCACCCUUGUAGUACUGGGACUCUAACCAUAGGCCAUGAAUCUGGUCUUGGGACACUGUCAGGUGGGCAGUUUGACUGGGGCGGUCGCCUCCCAAAAGGUAACGGAGGCGCUCAAAGGUUCUCUCAGUACGGUCGGAAAUCGUACGUAGAGUGUAAAGGCAAAAGAGAGCUUGAUUGCAAGACAUACAGGUCGAGCAAGGAUGAAAAUCGGACUUAGUGAUCCGGUGGUUCUGCGUGGAAGGGCCAUCGCUCAACGGAUAAAAGCUACCCUGGGGAUAACAGGCUUAUCUCCCCCAAGAGUCCACAUCGACGGGGAGGUUUGGCACCUCGAUGUCGGCUCAUCACAUCCUGGGGCUGUAGUAGGUCCCAAGGGUUGGGCUGUUCGCCCAUUAAAGUGGUACGCGAGCUGGGUUCAGAACGUCGUGAGACAGUUCGGUCCCUAUCCGUCGCAGGCGUAGGAAAUUUGAGAAGACCUGUCCUUAGUACGAGAGGACCGGGAUGGACG
This 2323-nucleotide ribosomal RNA is filed under the name Clostridioides difficile. RNAcentral's name for it is "partial 23S ribosomal RNA". It matches the Rfam family "Bacterial large subunit ribosomal RNA", at positions 360 to 2703 of the family's 2925-position model. The record is from RNAcentral. Lineage: Bacteria; Bacillati; Bacillota; Clostridia; Peptostreptococcales; Peptostreptococcaceae.